Molecule: ribosomal RNA, 401 nt
Filed under: Cardiodactylus erniae
Lineage: Eukaryota; Metazoa; Arthropoda; Insecta; Orthoptera; Gryllidae
Description: partial small subunit ribosomal RNA
Source: RNAcentral
UAUUAUAAUUAAUGUUGAAUUAUUACUUGGGUAGUAAUAGAUGUUCUUGAAACUCAAAGGAUUUGGCGGUAUUUUAGUCCUUUCAGGGGAACUUAUUAUUUAAUUGAUAAUACACAAUUUGUUUUACUUAAUUAGGUUAUUAGUUUGUAUACCGCCGUCAUAAGAUUAUUUUUAUUUUAAGAAUAAAUUUUCAUGUAUUUUUAAUAGAGGAUAUGUCAGGUCAAGGUGCAGCUUAUGAUUAAGGUAUAAAUGAGUUACAAUAAUUUUAAUUUAUUACGAAUAAUUAUUAUAAGUUUAGUUUGAAGGUGGAUUUGAUUGUAAAUUUAUUUUUGAUUUUUAUAUUGAUUUGGGCUCUAAAAUGUGUACAUAUCGCCCGUCGCUCUCUUAUUUUUAUAUAUGAG